GACGAACGCUGGCGGCGUGCUUAACACAUGCAAGUCGAACGCUGAAGCUCAGCUUUUGUUGGGUGGAUGAGUGGCGAACGGGUGAGUAACACGUGAGUAACCUGCCCCCUUCUUUGGGAUAACGCCCGGAAACGGGUGCUAAUACUGGAUAUUCACUGGUCUUCGCAUGGGGGUUGGUGGAAAGGGUUUUUCUGGUGGGGGAUGGGCUCGCGGCCUAUCAGCUUGUUGGUGGGGUGAUGGCCUACCAAGGCUUUGACGGGUAGCCGGCCUGAGAGGGUGACCGGUAACAUUGGGACUGAGAUACGGCCCAGACGCCUACGGGAGGCAGCAGUGGGGAAUAUUGCACAAUGGGCGCAAGCCUGAUGCAGCGACGCCGCGUGAGGGAUGGAGGCCUUCGGGUUGUGAACCUCUUUCGCUCAUGGUCAAGCCGCAACAAUGGUUGUGGUGAGGGUAGUGGGUAAAGAAGCGCCGGCUAACUACGU
Molecule: ribosomal RNA, 482 nt
Filed under: uncultured bacterium
Lineage: Bacteria
Description: partial 16S ribosomal RNA
Rfam family: Bacterial small subunit ribosomal RNA
Source: RNAcentral